UUGACAUGGGGAGUAUGAUUGGCAGAGAUGUCUUUCGUUCAGUUCGGCUGGGCUCCACACACAGGGUGCCUUGCAUUGGCUGUCGUCAGCUCGUGUCGUGAGAUGUUUGGGUUAAGUCCCGCAACGAGCGCAACCCUCACCAUUAGUGCCAGCAUUUGGUUGGGCACUCUGAUGGAACUGCCGGUGAUAAGCCGGAGGAAGGUGGGGAUGACGUCAAGUCCUCAUGGCCCUUAUGGGCUGGGCAUACACACGUGCUACAAUGGCGGUGACAGUGGGAAGCGAAGGGGUGACCCGGAGCUAAUCUCCAAAAGCCGUCUCAGUUCGGAUUGUCAACUCGAGUGCAUGAAGUUGGAAUCGCUAGUAAUCGCGGAUCAGCAUGCCGCGGUG
Molecule: ribosomal RNA, 387 nt
Filed under: uncultured bacterium
Lineage: Bacteria
Description: bacterial SSU rRNA
Rfam family: Bacterial small subunit ribosomal RNA
Source: RNAcentral